GCAAACUUGGUCAUUUAGAGGAAGUAAAAGUCGUAACAAGGUUUUCGUAGGUGAACCUGCGAAAGGAUCAUUAACGAGUUAGGGUCCUCUGGGCCCGACCUCCCAACCCUUUGUUUACUGAACCUCUGUUGCUUCGGCGGGCCCGUCUCACGACCGCCGGAGGAGCGCUGAAAGGCGUGUCCUCUGGCCCGUGUCCGCCGAUAGCCAACCACAAAACUCUGUAUAAAUCAUGUUAUGUCUAAGUCAAUGAUUAAAAUCAAAAGCAAAACUUUCAACAACGGAUCUCUUGGUUCUGGCAUCGAUGAAGAACGCAGC
Molecule: unclassified non-coding RNA, 315 nt
Filed under: uncultured fungus
Lineage: Eukaryota; Fungi
Description: partial contains small subunit ribosomal RNA, internal transcribed spacer 1, and 5.8S ribosomal RNA
Rfam family: Eukaryotic small subunit ribosomal RNA (bases 1-73)
Source: RNAcentral